Molecule: ribosomal RNA, 756 nt
Filed under: uncultured bacterium
Lineage: Bacteria
Description: bacterial SSU rRNA
Rfam family: Bacterial small subunit ribosomal RNA
Source: RNAcentral
AGAGUUUGAUCCUGGCUCAGAAUCAACGCUGGCGGCGCGCUUAACACAUGCAAGUCGAGCGAGAAAGUGGAGCAAUCCAUGAGUAAAGCGGCGUACGGGUGAGUAACACGUGGAUCAUCUACCUUUUAGUGGGGAAUAACCCUGGGAAACCGGGGCUAAUACCGCAUAAUCCUGUGAAGGGAAAGCAGCAAUGCGCUGAAAGAGGAGUCCGCGGCCGAUUAGCUAGUUGGUGAGGUAACGGCUCACCAAGGCGGUGAUCGGUAGCCGGCCUGAGAGGGCACACGGCCACACUGGCACUGAAACACGGGCCAGACUCCUACGGGAGGCAGCAGUGGGGAAUCUUGCACAAUGGAGGCAACUCUGAUGCAGCGACGCCGCGUGAGCGAUGAAGCCCCUCGGGGUGUAAAGCUCUUUCGGCAGGGACGAUAAUGACGGUACCUGAAGAAGAAGCUGCGGCUAACUACGUGCCAGCAGCCGCGGUAAUACGUAGGCAGCGAGCGUUGUUCGGAAUUACUGGGCGUAAAGGGUGUGUAGGCGGUGCUCUAAGUUCGGUGUGAAAUCUCCUGGCUUAACUGGGAGGGUGCGCCGGAAACUGGAGUGCUCGAACGUGGGAGAGGAAAGCGGAAUUCCUGGUGUAGCGGUGAAAUGCGUAGAUAUCAGGAGGAACACCUGCGGUGUAGACGGCUUUCUGGACCAUUGUUGACGCUGAGACACGAAAGCGUGGGUAGCAAACAGGAUUAGAUACCCCGGUAGUCC